AAGCAACACGAUAGCAGAUCGUCAGAACUCUCUGAUGCAGUUUGAGUUCACUGUAGCAAGAAAGUCCCACCUAUUCUGGUGCUCUCUCCUCUGAGACAAGCCGUUAUAUCGACUUCACAGU
Molecule: small nucleolar RNA, 121 nt
Organism: Myotis lucifugus (little brown bat)
Lineage: Eukaryota; Metazoa; Chordata; Mammalia; Chiroptera; Vespertilionidae
Product: small nucleolar RNA SNORA28
Source: Ensembl